This 810-nucleotide ribosomal RNA is filed under the name Triticum aestivum (bread wheat). Its description in RNAcentral is "partial small subunit ribosomal RNA". The record is from RNAcentral. Lineage: Eukaryota; Viridiplantae; Streptophyta; Magnoliopsida; Poales; Poaceae.
AUGGUCAAACUCAGUAAUCUAGCAAUUCUUGACCUAGGAGGGAACCAGAUCAGUGGCAACAUCCCACAGUCAAUAGGUCACCUCAAGAGGCUGGAGGAGCUACAUUUGGGUAGCAAUAACAUGUCUGGGGAGCUGCCAUCAUCUCUCGGCAACUGUACAAAUCUCAAAACCAUCGAUCUGAAGAUCAAUAACUUCAGUGGAGAUCUAGGGAAGAUAAACUUCUCCGCACUACAGAAUCUAAGAAGUUUAGAUCUCAUGAGGAAUAAUCUCAGUGGCAUAAUUCCAGAAAGCAUUUACUCAUGCAGCAAUUUGACUGCACUGCGGUUGUUGGCCAACCGUUUCCAUGGUGAGAUCUCACCGAGAAUAGGCAAUCUGAAGCGCCUGUUCUUCCUAUCACUUGUUAGAAACUCCUUCACAAACAUCACAAAAGCUUUGCAUGUUCUUAAGAGUUGUAGGAACAUCAGCACCCUGCUUAUUGGCAAAAACUUCAUGAAUGAGGCCAUGCCACAAGAUGAAGCCAUUCUCGGCUUCCAGAACCUUCAAUAUCUCUCCAUGCACCACGGCUCGUUGACUGGAAGGAUACCUAUUUGGUUAUCAAAGCUCACAAAUCUGAAGAUGCUAGACUUAUACAGCAAUCAACUCACAGGACCAAUGCCAAGCUGGAUCAACUCCCUAAACCACCUCUUUCGGCUGGAUGUAUCUAACAACAGUCUUACUGGGGAAAUCCCAAUCACCUUGAUGGAGAUGCCAUUGUUAAAAUCAGAUAAGAAUGGCAUGUAUUCGGAAUUAGAACCAAACCUCCUGAUCUAG